Molecule: ribosomal RNA, 2879 nt
Filed under: Triticum aestivum (bread wheat)
Lineage: Eukaryota; Viridiplantae; Streptophyta; Magnoliopsida; Poales; Poaceae
Description: partial small subunit ribosomal RNA
Source: RNAcentral
GUGGAACGAGAAAGAACUAGGGGAAAGGUAAAGGAAGAUAGGAAGGCGAGGAUGUAGGUGGCCUACUCGAGACCGACAAUCGUGACCAUUAACAACGGCGCCUAAAUUAAGGGUUGUUGAUGAGUCAAAGGAGAGAAAAGGGACAGCAGAAGAACGAGCAUGGGUGAACGUGCGUGUGGACGUAGAGCCGAGUGACCACGCCGGUGCCUAAUCGGCAGAUGCCGCGGACCAAACCGAGGAUAUGCGGAGCAGCUAGAGAGUUUGGCCAGUUGCCGCUGCCUCCCCAUCGUCCCGGGUUCCUCUUCGACGAGUCCCCUCCUCCGCUCGAGCAGCUAGAGGUACCACGGCCACGGUAGCGGUAGGCACGUCCGCUACAACCACACCUAGAACAGAGGGCGUCGGUCAAACCUAGGUGGAACUAAUACUCCUACGACUGCCUAAAGAAGGUAGCGUAGCACAGAGGGGACUCGAUCCUUCGAGCCGUCCAGCAGAAGUAGGAGCUGUCACCGUCGGACUAAAGCCGUCGAGUAAGAAGGUGGACGUCCGGGGUGAAGAGAGAAAAGGACGGAGAGGUUAUAAAAAGAACAAAGGAUAGGAAAAAGACGUACGCAUACCCAUUUGGUUAUAUUACCCUAAUUCCAUUAAGAACAAUCACCUUCCACAUAUAGACACAUACCGGGGGACGGGGGUAAGUAUAAGUUGUUUAAAUCAUUCAUUAAUCACAUAAGCACUAAUCGGUACAGAAUCAUAAAGGGUUUCUAUUUUUAUUAUCCUUUUAUCAACGCUCACGUAGGAUGUAUACUUGAUUUUACUACGUGCGUGUACGACAGUGAUAACCGAACAUGAUGUCUUAUUCGAAGUUUAUAGUCUAUUGAGUUUCACAGUGUAAACCAUAAUAAGUAGAUAAAGGUAGUUUACAACUACGUACAAAGGUUUAAGGUUAUGAAGAUCCUCAUCGUCUAAUAUAGGUAAGACGGUAUAGUACAGGGAGCACUUGAGGAACUCGAAAUACACCUUGUGAGUUAGUUGUUAUAGUCGAGAAAGCCUACAACAAACCGGAUGAAGGUAUUCGUAUCCAACUUAUAGGCCGGUUCGACACAACGUGCACUGACAGUGUUUAUCCAGACACAUAAGUCGGGUGGCUGCAGAACGAUAUCGUAGAACUAUUAGCGACAACAUAGUUUUUCUUUUGACUAAAACUCUAACAAGAAGUUACCAGACAUAAAAAGCAUGAGGAUCUGAAACUUCCAGAAUUAAUACAUCUACUUCAGGAAAGUACAAACGAAAUUUAAAUAACUGGUCAAAAGAGGGUUAUCUUCGUACCUAGCGUAACGGGAUGUGUCUCUCUUAUGCAAUCGUUUGAAGCCUUUUCCUUUUGACUUCUCUGUAAUAUAUACAUUAUGAACUUGAAAAAAAAUAGAUUACGUACCUAGCGUAAUCAGAUAUUCAAUUGAUGCAGGGUUUCAGAGUUCACUAAUACACUGUUGUUUCUUUUAACUUCUAAAAAAUUUGACCUUUUCUAUAUACUUUAGUAUCAUCUACUUAUUUAUGUUAAAGUAACUAUCAACCAGACUUAAAAACAAAGUCUACCUCGGCCACCGUAAUGCUGGUGAUAGCUUAUACUCCAACCAGUUUAUACUUUUGGUAGAUAUAUACAAAUAGAUAUAACGUCGUUAGUUAGGAUAAACAAAGACAAUAUCGACAUCAUACCGAGAUCAGAAGAUCUCAUAUAAUAGAAUCGCAUCUAUGUGACCUUGGUUGUGGGUACCGUAGUCGAAAGAGAUCUGCUCAUUUUCAUAAUUGUACGUUGGUAAUUCUAUCCUUAGGUGUGUAUAUCUUAACGUAAUAAAUUACAGCUUAUGAGAAGUAUCAAAGAAGACAAAGAUGUAUUACUUGGAACACUCGAUUGUACAGUUUAGAAAAAUCUAAUCUUGACGGAUGUUUUAUUAACUUCAUAAUAACUAGGUAAUUUUCCAGACUAAAUAUUAUACUUUUGGUAGACUACGUGGUAUAUACAAAGAGAUAUAGCGUCGUACGUAGGGUAAACAAAGACAAUAUCGACAUCAUAUUAAUAUCUGAAAAUAUCAUACAAUAGAAUUUCACUUAUGUAACCUUCGUUGUAUGUACCGUAGUUAGAAGAGAUCUAUUCAUUUUUCAAACUGGCACUGUGGUAAUUCUGUCCUUGAGUGUGGAUACCUUAAGAUGUAUUCGUUGGAAGGCUUUACCAUGACUGAACUACACCAGACUAACGAGCUGCCUCUGCCGAACACGGGCGAUCUCCUUCUGUUAAGGCUUCAAGAUGAAUGGUCAAACGUACUGCCUUUCUCUCCAAAAAAACACGUGAUACCCUUCUCAAAACCUACGACAGACCUCUCUAUAAGACAAACCUCUCUAACUUAGAGACAUGCAAUAACUACUAACAAACCUAAACAAACCCAUUAUAACAUCCACUGUUACUGUUCAACAUGCAUGGUAAUAUUGACGCACGAACAGCUACUACAGCCGCUAGAAGUUCUUCAUGGGGACCUCCAGGACGUACCAGAGGCGUCACAACCGAUCACCAAACAACUGCUUCCCACUGCACAACAAGUGGACCUGUAAAUGGAUACGUUUAGUGUGUUAAGUAAACUGCCUCCGAUAACGGAUAACGGAUACGGAUCGCAGUCCACUUCCGCGUACACGUGUGUGCGUGUUUGAUGUACGUUUGACUUAACUAGAAAAACGUAGCUAGUAACCGACUAACAAAGUUCUCGUUGUACAGUUAACCUUUAGCAUCAGAUCAUAGGACCUACUAAAACCCACACGUUUGAGAGUACAUUAGACACAUGACUAAGAAACAGGGUUAGUAUGUAUUAGUUUAUCUUAUCACGAAUGGAUAC